GAGUUGUAUUUGUAGAGGAUGUUUCGGGCGCGGCGCCGGUCUAAGUCCCUUGGAACAGGGCGUCACAGAGGGUGAGAAUCCCGUAUGUGACCGGCGACCAACCCCAUGUGAAACCCCUUCGACGAGUCGAGUUGUUUGGGAAUGCAGCUCAAAAUGGGUGGUAAAUUUCAUCUAAAGCUAAAUACCGGCCAGAGACCGAUAGCGCACAAGUAGAGUGAUCGAAAGAUGAAAAGCACUUUGGAAAGAGAGUCAAACAGUACGUGAAAUUGUUGAAAGGGAAGCGCUUGCAACCAGACCUGUCCGCGGGCGUUCCACCUCCGUUCUCGGGGGCCCACUCGCCCGCGAUCAGGCCAGCAUCGGCUCGGGCGGCCGGAUAAAGGCCUUGGGAAUGUAGCUCCCCCCGGGGAGAACUUACAGCCCUCGGUGCAAUGCGGCCAGCUCGGACCGAGGACCGCGCUCGGCUAGGAU
This 468-nucleotide ribosomal RNA is filed under the name Lecidella stigmatea. RNAcentral's name for it is "eukaryotic LSU rRNA". It matches the Rfam family "Eukaryotic large subunit ribosomal RNA", at positions 141 to 554 of the family's 3401-position model. The record is from RNAcentral. Lineage: Eukaryota; Fungi; Ascomycota; Lecanoromycetes; Lecanorales; Lecanoraceae.